GAUGAAGAACGUAGCGAAAUGCGAUAAGUAGUGUGAAUUGCAGAAUUCAGUGAAUCAUCGAAUCUUUGAACGCACAUUGCGCCCUUUUGUAUUCCUUAGGGCAUGCCUGUUCGAGCGUCAUUUAAACCUUCAAGCUCAGCUUGGUGUUGGGUGACUGUCCGCUUCACCGCGGACUCGCCUCAAAAUUAUUGGCGGCCGGUACAUUGGCUUCGAGCGCAGCAGAAACGCGAACUCGGGCCCGUCGUAUUGGCUCCCAGAAGCUAUCUUCACAAUUUUGACCUCGGAUCAGGUAGGGAUACCCGCUGAACUUAAGCAUAUCAAUAAGCGGAGGA
This 332-nucleotide unclassified non-coding RNA is filed under the name soil metagenome. Its description in RNAcentral is "partial contains 5.8S ribosomal RNA, internal transcribed spacer 2, and large subunit ribosomal RNA". The stretch from base 1 to 120 matches the Rfam family "5.8S ribosomal RNA", at positions 35 to 154 of the family's 154-position model. The record is from RNAcentral.